Molecule: ribosomal RNA, 390 nt
Filed under: Triticum aestivum (bread wheat)
Lineage: Eukaryota; Viridiplantae; Streptophyta; Magnoliopsida; Poales; Poaceae
Description: partial small subunit ribosomal RNA
Source: RNAcentral
CCUCCUCCUGUUGCUACAGUUCAAGCGUUGGAUCCAAGGUACAAGGACAUGACCUGCUUUAACUGUAGUUGGCUGAGGCACUAUGUGGGGAACUGCAUUGAACCGAAGAAAUGCUUUAUUUGCGCAGGAGGUCAUAACGUCAAUAACUGCGCUGCCUGGGUGAAACCACAUCCUACAGCGACAUACUUUGGCAGCGUAGCAGCUGGCCUGGGGUUUUAUCACAUUGAUGUUCCUACCGCGUCAGAACUAAGCUGGCUUAAUUACAAGAACUGUGCAGUUCUCAAAGUUGUUAAGGGUGAGGUUUCUGCCUCGGAGUUGCUGAUUCAGCUUAAUGGGAUUUUUUGUAAAAACAAAGAAUGGCCUUGGCAGAUUAGGGAUUUGCGAGAGAAG